This 253-nucleotide ribosomal RNA is filed under the name uncultured bacterium. RNAcentral's name for it is "partial 16S ribosomal RNA". It matches the Rfam family "Bacterial small subunit ribosomal RNA", at positions 524 to 776 of the family's 1533-position model. The record is from RNAcentral.
UACGUAGGGUGCGAGCGUUAAUCGGAAUUACUGGGCGUAAAACGUGCGCAGGCGGUUCGUUAUGUCCGAUGUGAAAGCCCCGAGCUUAACUUGGGAAUGGCAUUGGAAACUGGCGGGCUGGAGUGCGGCAGAGGGGGGUGGAAUUCCACGUGUAGCAGUGAAAUGCGUAGAUAUCAGGAGGAACACCGAUGGCGAAGGCAGGUCUCUGGGCUGACACUGACGCUCAUGCACGAAAGCGUGGGGAGCAAACAGG